This 330-nucleotide ribosomal RNA is filed under the name Bordetella bronchiseptica. RNAcentral's name for it is "bacterial SSU rRNA". It matches the Rfam family "Bacterial small subunit ribosomal RNA", at positions 1130 to 1455 of the family's 1533-position model. Lineage: Bacteria; Pseudomonadati; Pseudomonadota; Betaproteobacteria; Burkholderiales; Alcaligenaceae. The record is from RNAcentral.
AAAGGGCACUCUAAUGAGACUGCCGGUGACAAACCGGANGAAGGUGGGGAUGACGUCAAGUCCUCAUGGCCCUUAUGGGUAGGGCUUCACACGUCAUACAAUGGUCGGGACAGAGGGUCGNCAACCCGCGAGGGGGAGCCAAUCCCAGAAANCCGAUCGUAGUCCGGAUNGCAGUCUGCAACUCGAUCUGCGUGAAGUCGGAAUCGCUAGUAAUCGCGGAUCAGCAUGUCGCGGUGAAUACGUUCCCGGGUCUUGUACACNCCGCCCAGUCACACCAUGGGAGUGGGUUUUACCAGAAGUAGUUAGCCUAACACGCAAGGGGGGCCGAUU